CUUGUUCUUUAAAUGGGGACUCGUAUCAACGGCACUACGAGGGCUAUACUGUCUCCUUUUUCUAAUCAGUGAAACUGAUCUCCCCGUGAAGAAGCGGGGAUUAAAAUAUAAGACGAGAAGACCCCAUGGAGCUUUAAACUCACCAUGCACCUCUGUGCCCCCCAUAUCCUUAAACACAACGGACCUGCAUGCUAGUUUUAGGUUGGGGUGACCACGGAGUACAACUUAACCUCCACAGCAAAUGGGCUAAUACCCUUAUCCACGAGACACAACUCUAAGAAUUAUUAUACUAAUGCUUAUUGACCCGAUAUUCGAUCAAUGAACCAAGUUACCCUGGGGAUAACAGCGCAAUCUACUUCAAGAGCCCAUAUCGACAAGUAG
RNAcentral lists this ribosomal RNA (381 nucleotides) under Rana dybowskii. RNAcentral describes it as "partial large subunit ribosomal RNA". It matches the Rfam family "Bacterial large subunit ribosomal RNA", at positions 1968 to 2515 of the family's 2925-position model. Lineage: Eukaryota; Metazoa; Chordata; Amphibia; Anura; Ranidae. The record is from RNAcentral.